AAUAAAACUACACAUUACGUAGUCACACUUGUCAAGACUGAAUAUUUCAUUCUGUGUCAACGUACGAAAUUCACGCAUUUCUGAUGUUUUCUUCGGAAAAUGUCGAACAUGGCCGAAGAUAUACGAAAUUACUCGUGUAUGUGAAAACCGGCUCCUACCGACAGAGUUCGCGACGUACAACGCUUUGAGUGGUCGCUCCGUAUCGUAUUAAUUCUUUUAUGCAAUUCGUUUAUAAUUUAAUGCGAAUGAAGUGUAAAGAUCAAGACUGUGCAAUCAAUCAAGAUUCUCUAUCCACGACGGUGUUCUUUAUUUCGGCGAAAUGAAAUUAGCACCCUCGAUAAAACAACGAUUCCUCGAGCGAACGAAUGAAUCAUCCAUUAAAGUACCCGACGCAUCAAGUAGACGAGCAAAAACCUAUCUCGACAGGAGAAUCUCUUCUUCGAACCCUCUCCUUGCCCACCUUUACUCGACAUCAAAGGGUUCACGAAUUCCGGAAAUGCGCUUCUCGAAGGAUCCCCAGGCGCUCGCUCGAAAUUAGCGCGGAUUCGUCGGCGUGGUGACGUUAGGAAACGCCUGGGUAAUAUAACUUUUGCUCGUAAAGAGAAGACAAAGACAGAGAGGGAGAGAGAGAGACUGAACGUAGGAAGAGUGGGAAACAGAGAGGGAUAAAGGGUCAUAUUGGGAGGCAUGCAAGAUAUACCGAUGGCGUGUAGGGGAGAUUUGGCCCGAGGACCAAACCACUAAUCCUUGCGUAGUAAUCGAUGAUUUCCGCCCCUAAAUUGUUCCUUCCUCCGUGGGGCUAUAGACCAGGAUGAACGAAGCUUAAACGAGGGAACCGCGUUGUCGGCGCUUUUGUUCUUCUAAAAGCGGCGGUAGCGACAACGAUAUAAUUGUUUUGAUUAUUAUUGGAGAUAGUCGUCGAGUUGCCUGUUUAUAUUGUAAUUGCAAAGAGGUGGGUAUUAAAGGUUGAUUAUUGCGUUGAUAAUUGGUACUUAGGAUUAGGGAGGUUUUUAGAUAAUUAUGAAGAUAUUAUGAUAUUCCUGGAAUAUUAUUUAAAAUAUAAAUAUUGUUUUCAGCUAAAAAGUAAAUUCAGAAAUUAUGAAAAUCAUUGAUAAUUGCUAUAGGUUCCGCGUACCGAGUACCGAAUAUAAAUUCCAAUACUCGCGUCGAAAAUGCUACGUGUAUUUAAUGAUCGAGUACCUGCAACAAUUCUCUAUUUCAUCUUAAUAAUGCAAGGUAUAUUAGCGAAGCGAUUAGGAUAAUAGCAAAAAGUGAUCAUUCCCAUCUCAGUACAAGAGACAGUUUGGUAAUUCAUGUGACAUCGCGACUAUCUUGAGACAUCUAACGCUAAUGAAACGCCCUGGGCCAAUAGGAAAUUGCGCCUUGGUAAACAUUAAUAAACUUACACACGCGUCACAUUUACUGACGUAUCGAGGUAUAGUGGAAUGUGUACAUAGUUCCUAAUUUCGAUAGUAACUUGUUUCAUUAAGGAAAUGUAGCAAAAGUUCA
Molecule: long non-coding RNA, 1509 nt
Organism: Bombus pascuorum
Lineage: Eukaryota; Metazoa; Arthropoda; Insecta; Hymenoptera; Apidae
Exons: 3
Source: RefSeq, a predicted model, not a curated record